GUUUGCAAAUAUGUGUGUGCAUUUCUCAAAACAAUUUGUACAGACAGCAAAAGACUGGAUUUCUUGCAAAAGCCUGUAUUUUGCUCAAAAUCUUUAGUUCAUGUCUUCAUCGCAUUGCCAUCAGAAUGUCAAGUCCUUGUGUCAUUGUCUAUGAACAAGACAGUCAAAUUACUUAAUCAUGUUGUCAAUAAAACUCUGAUCUGAGAAUUGUACUAAAGCGACUGAGAAAAACUGUAAAGUACAGAGUGAAAUUCUCAAAACUAUUUGUUCAGUCUUCACAUCAUGAUGUCACGUGUGCACAUCAUAUAAGCAGUUUCUCUUUUUUCUCUUUUUUUCACUUUGAACAAGUUGCCAAAUGCUUUGGUACAUCCAUUCAAAUGAUUCUGCACAAUUCCCAGCUCUUUGCUACAUUAUCAAUUGUUUAUUUCAUGUUGAUCAAAAUGUAUUAUAUAGUUCACUGUGCAAUAGUUUUACUCCUCAAAACAUCUAGUCAUUAGUUCAUCGUAUAAGUCAUUAACUGCAAAAUGGUUGAUCAAGUUGUCAUAAUGUGACAAAUAUAUUUCUAUACAUCUCCAUUAUAUGUUUUUUUUUUUCUAAAUCUGUCCUGAUUUGGUAAAUUGCUCUCAGGUGACUUGACUUGCUCUAAAAAAGGUUGCAUCUCCCUUAACCAUCAACUGGCAAGUAUAUAUUUGGGUGAUGAAGCACAACACAAUGUUCUAUGUCUGACAAUGGUGCGCUUACACAUCACAAACUCUCUACAGAGGUCUCAUCCCUGAAGAAGAGAGGGGUCAGAGUGGAGAUCACCUGCCAAAGGGAGCUGUGCAGUGCAGACACAGAAACCUACAUCUACAUGCAGGUAUGGGUUUUGUUAUUUCAUUGUUUUAGACUAUGCUCACCACCUUGUUUAAGCACCUCAUCUUUUUGCUUGUAUGGCUGCCGUGUGGCGCCGACUUUGUAAAUUAUGUUUAGCAAGUUUUGCUGGCUGGGCUCUCACGUUGCCGCAUGCAACUGUGCAGGAGGAGCUGUGCAGUGCAGACACGGAAACGUACAUCUACAUGUUUGUUAUUUGUUUCCUGCAGGCCAAUAAGACGAGAAGAUAAAAGUCCAAGCUGGCUUCAGUAGUUUCGUACGGUCAGGGAGAGAGGCUGCAAUGAAAAGCGUUACACUAACGGGUGAUUGUUUCAUAUUUUCGUCUGUUUUUGAUGCACGUGACCGACAUUUAUAGCGUUGUAGCCCGGACUUUGCUGUUUAUUAUAGACACGCCUAAAAUCAGAUUAAUUUAUAUUGAAUUCAUGGGUAACCUCGCCAUUUUCUUUUGCUAUUUCAUCCUCACUUAUCAGGUUCACUGAGGAAAUGGAACUGAUGGUCACACAGAUUUAUGGAGGCAGACAUCCAAAACCUUGAUUGGACCUCCAGGAGAGACGAGUGUGGCCACUGGGACGUGCACAUUUAUGGACUUAAAGGUGAAUAUUGUGCAGUGUUGCCAGAUGGGGAAAUAAGAAUAAGAAAACCUUUAAUAGUCCCGCAGUGGGGAAAUGACUUCUCACAACAGCAGUACAGAUGAGCGAGAAUACAGGUACAGAACAGUUUGUGUUGGCACAGUACAAAGCAGUACAGUACAGUACAGUUAGUGUGAGUAUGAGGUCAUUGCAGGGUUUUUGCACGGUAAUGGGUAUAAGAUUUGUACCGGUAACAUUAUACAUGAUUGUUCACAGAUUUACACAAAUAUUGUGCAGAGCAGGUUGCUAUAUAAACCACUGAUGCAGUGGGUGAGUGACUGUAGCGGGACGUGGUCAACAGUUCUGAUUAUACAGUCUGACAGCAGCAGGUAGGAAGGAUCUACGAUAUCUCUCCUUCACACAGCGAGGGUGGAUCAGUCUGCUACUGAAGCCGCUCUCCAGAGCAGACAGUGAGUCCUCCAGUGGGUGAGAAUCCUGGUCCAUGAUGGAUGUCAGUUU
This 1958-nucleotide long non-coding RNA is filed under the name Betta splendens (Siamese fighting fish). RNAcentral describes it as "lncRNA (ENSBSLG00000023116.1)". The record is from RNAcentral. Lineage: Eukaryota; Metazoa; Chordata; Actinopteri; Anabantiformes; Osphronemidae.